ACGGAAGGCAGCAGUGGGGAAUAUUGCACAAUGGGGGAAACCCUGAUGCAGCGACGCCGCGUGAGUGAAGAAGUUAUUCGUAGUGUAAAGCUCUAUCAGCAGGGAAGAAAAUGACGGUACCUGACUAAGAAGCCCCGGCUAACUACGUGCCAGCAGCCGCGGUAAUACGUAGGGGGCAAGCGUUAUCCGGAUUUACUGGGUGUAAAGGGAGCGUAGACGGUCUGGCAAGUCUGAUGUGAAAGGCAGGGGCUCAACUCCUGGACUGCAUUGGAAACUGUCAGUCUUGAGUGUCGGAGAGGUAAGCGGAAUUCCUAGUGUAGCGGUGAAAUGCGUAGAUAUUAGGAGGAACACCAGUGGCGAAGGCGGCUUACUGGACGAUAACUGACGUUGAGGCUCGAAAGCGUGGGGAGCAAACAGGAUUAGAUACCCUGGUA
RNAcentral lists this ribosomal RNA (434 nucleotides) under uncultured Lachnospiraceae bacterium. Its description in RNAcentral is "bacterial SSU rRNA". It matches the Rfam family "Bacterial small subunit ribosomal RNA", at positions 341 to 792 of the family's 1533-position model. Lineage: Bacteria; Bacillati; Bacillota; Clostridia; Lachnospirales; Lachnospiraceae. The record is from RNAcentral.